ACUCCUACGGGAGGCAGCAGUGGGGAAUAUUGCACAAUGGGCGCAAGCCUGAUGCAGCCAUGCCGCGUGUGUGAAGAAGGCCUCGGUUGUAAAGCACUUUCAGUCGUGAGGAAGGUAGUGUAGUUAAUAGCUGCAUUAUUUGUACGUUAGCGACAGAAGAAGCACCGGCUAACUCCGUGCCAGCAGCCGCGGUAAUACGGAGGGGUGCGAGCGUUAAUCGGAAUUACUGGGGCGUAAAGCGCAUGCAGGUGGUUUGUUAAGUCAGAUGUGAAAGCCCGGGGCUCAACCUCGGAAUAGCAUUUGAAACUGGCAGACGUAGAGUACUGUAGAGGGGGUAGGAAUUUCAGGUGUAGCGGUGAAAUGCGUAGAGAU
This 372-nucleotide ribosomal RNA is filed under the name uncultured bacterium. RNAcentral describes it as "bacterial SSU rRNA". It matches the Rfam family "Bacterial small subunit ribosomal RNA", at positions 335 to 697 of the family's 1533-position model. The record is from RNAcentral.